Molecule: long non-coding RNA, 544 nt
Filed under: Malus domestica (apple)
Lineage: Eukaryota; Viridiplantae; Streptophyta; Magnoliopsida; Rosales; Rosaceae
Description: long non-coding RNA (MDOM_LNC020913)
Source: RNAcentral
GUAACAUUUGAACUCUCUCUCUCUAAGCUUCGAGAAGGAGACCACAUUCACCCACGUCAGUUUUUGUCCAAAUCAAACCCCUAAACUUCUACUUACGAGACUUGUGGGACACAAGGAAUUAUAUGGUGGUUUUGCAUGCACCAUUGGAGCACUGUGAGGUGUUCUUCCAUAGAGUCCGAGAGCUUUAAGCUCUACUUAGAACUCAGGUGAGGCUACCUCUUUUCUAUCUAAGAUUUUCUGGUUGUUCUUGAUGUGUUGUGAUUUCGAGGUUGGGGCGUCCCAUCUAUUGUGUUGUUUUAGGGCCUAGGGUUACUAAUUUAGGGGUUUUCUAUGAUGGUGGAUUGAAUGACAAGCAGGUGUUAGGUGGUGUCUCUACCGGUUCAAAACUCAGCGUCGUCCCCAUCAUCGUGGUCCGAUCAUCCAUCAUUAUUGUCGCCGCCACCGCCGUCGUCAUCUUUCUCAAAAGUCGACAAGCAAAGGAAUCAGACUGCGGCGCUGGCAACAAAGGGUUUGGGUGGGAAAAAAAAUAGAGGACCCAUGUACC